GUAGGGUGCGAGCGUUGUCCGGAAUUAUUGGGCGUAAAGGGCUCGUAGGCGGUUUUUCACGUCGGGAGUGAAAACUCAGGGCUUAACCCUGAGCCUGCUUCCGAUACGGGCAGACUAGAGGUAUGCAGGGGAGAAUGGAAUUCCUGGUGUAGCGGUGAAAUGCGCAGAUAUCAGGAGGAACACCGGUGGCGAAGGCGGUUCUCUGGGCAUUACCUGACGCUGAGGAGCGAAAGUGUGGGGAGCGAACAGG
RNAcentral lists this ribosomal RNA (250 nucleotides) under uncultured bacterium. Its description in RNAcentral is "partial 16S ribosomal RNA". It matches the Rfam family "Bacterial small subunit ribosomal RNA", at positions 527 to 776 of the family's 1533-position model. The record is from RNAcentral.